AUACGGAGGAUGCGAGCGUUAUCCGGAUUUAUUGGGUUUAAAGGGUGCGUAGGCUGUACGUUAAGUCAGGGGUGAAAUGCCGUCGCUCAACGUCGGGGCUGCCCUUGAUACUGGCGUGCUGGAGUGCGGAUGCCGCCGGAGGAAUGAGUGGUGUAGCGGUGAAAUGCUUAGAUAUCACUCAGAACACGGAUUGCAAAGGCAUCUGGGGAAUCCGCUGCUGACGCUGAGGCACGAAAGCGUGGGGAUAGAACAGGAUUAGAUACCCUGGUAUUCCACGCCGUAAACGAUGAUGGCUAACCGCCGGCGACAGAUUGUCGGUGGCCAAGCGAAAGCGAUAAGCCAUCCACCUGGGGAGUACGACCGCAAGGUUAAAACUCAAAGGAAUUGACGGGG
Molecule: ribosomal RNA, 393 nt
Filed under: uncultured bacterium
Lineage: Bacteria
Description: partial 16S ribosomal RNA
Rfam family: Bacterial small subunit ribosomal RNA
Source: RNAcentral